GUUGUAUAGUCAAGUAAUUAAGUGCAUGUGGUGGAUGCCUUGGCAGUCAGAGGCGAUGAAAGACGUGAUAGCCUGCGAAAAGCUCCGGGGAGGCGGCAAAUAUCCUUUGAUCCGGAGAUGUCUGAAUGGGGGAACCCACCUACUUUAAGGUAGGUAUUGCAACAUGAAUACAUAGUGUUGCAAGGCGAACGAGGGGAAGUGAAACAUCUCAGUACCCUUAGGAAAAGAAAUCAAUUGAGAUUCCCUCAGUAGCGGCGAGCGAACGGGGAUCAGCCCAUUAAGUUAUGUGUGUUUUAGUGGAACGCUCUGGGAAGUGCGAACGUAGAGGGUGAUAUUCCCGUACACGAAAGGGCACACAUAAUGAUGACGAGUAGGGCGAGGCACGUGAAACCUUGUCUGAAUAUGGGGGGACCAUCCUCCAAGGCUAAAUACUCCUGACUGACCGAUAGUGAACCAGUACCGUGAGGGAAAGGCGAAAAGAACCCCUGUGAGGGGAGUGAAAUAGAUCCUGAAACCGCAUGCAUACAAGCAGUGGGAGCACCUUCGUGGUGUGACUGCGUACCUUUUGUAUAAUGGGUCAGCGACUUAUAUUCAGUAGCGAGGUUAACCGUAUAGGGGAGCCGUAGAGAAAUCGAGUCUUAAUAGGGCGUUUAGUUGCUGGGUAUAGACCCGAAACCAGGCGAUCUAUCCAUGAGCAGGUUGAAGGUUGGGUAACACUAACUGGAGGACCGAACCCACUGUCGUUGAAAAGCCAGGGGAUGACUUGUGGAUAGGGGUGAAAGGCUAAUCAAGCCUGGUGAUAGCUGGUUCUCCCCGAAAGCUAUUUAGGUAGCGCCUCGGACGAAUACCAUAGGGGGUAGAGCACUGUUUCGGCUAGGGGGUCAUCCCGACUUACCAAACCGAUGCAAACUCCGAAUACCUAUGAGUACUAUCCGGGAGACAGACUGCGGGUGCUAACGUCCGUAGUCAAGAGGAAAACAAUCCAGACCGCCAGCUAAGGCCCCAAAAUCAUAGUUAAGUGGGAAACGAUGUGGGAAGGCAUAGACAGCUAGGAGGUUGGCUUANNNNNNNNNNNNNNNNNNNNNNNNNNNNNNNNNNNNNNGAAGCAGCCACCCUUUAAAGAAAGCGUAAUAGCUCACUAGUCGAGUCGGCCUGCGCGGAAGAUGUAACGGGGCUAAAACUAUGUGCCGAAGCUGCGGAUGUAUACUUUGUAUACGUGGUAGGGGAGCGUUCUGUAAGCCGAUGAAGGUGUGUUGAGAAGCNNNNNNNNNNNNNNNNNNNNNNNNNNNAUGCUGGAGGUAUCAGAAGUGCGAAUGCUGACGUGAGUAACGACAAAACGGGUGAAAAACCCGUUCGCCGAAAGACCAAGGGUUCCAGUCCAACGUUAAUCGGGGCUGGGUGAGUCGACCCCUAAGGCGAGGCCGAAAGGCGUAGUCGAUGGGAAAAUGGUUAAUAUUCCAUUACUUCUGUGUAAUGCGAUGAGAGGACGGAGAAGGCUAAAUCAGCCUGGCGUUGGUUGUCCAGGUGAAAGGAUGUAGGCAUGUAUCUUAGGCAAAUCCGGGGUACUCUAUGCUGAGAUCUGAUAGCAAGCUGUACUUGUACAGCGAAGUGGUUGAUGCCAUGCUUCCAGGAAAAGUCUCUAAGCUUCAGUUACACAGGAAUCGUACCCGAAACCGACACAGGUGGUCAGGUCGAGUAGACCAAGGCGCUUGAGAGAACUCUGCUGAAGGAACUAGGCAAAAUGGUACCGUAACUUCGGGAGAAGGUACGCUGUUGUUGGUGAUGGAACUCGCUUCCUGAGCUGACGACAGCCGCAGAAACCAGGCCGCUGCAACUGUUUAUUAAAAACAUAGCACUCUGCAAACACGAAAGUGGACGUAUAGGGUGUGAUGCCUGCCCGGUGCUGGAAGGUUAAUUGAUGGGGUUAGCGUAAGCGAAGCUCUUGAUCGAAGCCCCAGUAAACGGCGGCCGUAACUAUAACGGUCCUAAGGUAGCGAAAUUCCUUGUCGGGUAAGUUCCGACCUGCACGAAUGGCAUAAUGAUGGCGGCGCUGUCUCCAGCAGAGGCUCAGUGAAAUCGAAAUCGCUGUGAAGAUGCAGUGUACCCGCGGCUAGACGGAAAGACCCCGUGAACCUUUACUGCAGCUUGACACUGAACUUUGACCUUACUUGUGUAGGAUAGGUGGGAGGCUUUGAAGCUGGAACGCUAGUUCCAGUGGAGCCGUCCUUGAAAUACCACCCUGGUAAUGUUGAGGUUCUAACUCUGUCCCGUGAUCCGGGACGAGGACCGUGUCUGGUGGGUAGUUUGACUGGGGCGGUCUCCUCCUAAAGAGUAACGGAGGAGUACGAAGGUGCGCUCAGCGUGGUCGGAAAUCACGCGUAGAGUAUAAAGGCAAAAGCGCGCUUAACUGCGAGACCCACAAGUCGAGCAGGUACGAAAGUAGGUCUUAGUGAUCCGGUGGUUCUGUAUGGAAGGGCCAUCGCUCAACGGAUAAAAGGUACUCUGGGGAUAACAGGCUGAUACCGCCCAAGAGUUCAUAUCGACGGCGGUGUUUGGCACCUCGAUGUCGGCUCAUCUCAUCCUGGGGCUGAAGCAGGUCCCAAGGGUAUGGCUGUUCGCCAUUUAAAGAGGUACGCGAGCUGGGUUUAGAACGUCGUGAGACAGUUCGGUCCCUAUCUACCGUGGGCGCUGGAAAUUUGAGAGGAUCUGCUCCUAGUACGAGAGGACCAGAGUGGACGAACCUCUGGUGUACCGGUUGUGACGCCAGUCGCAUCGCCGGGUAGCUAUGUUCGGAAGGGAUAACCGCUGAAAGCAUCUAAGCGGGAAGCCUACCUCAAGAUAAGAUUUCCCUAGGACUUUAUGUCCUCUAAAGAGCCGUUCGAGACUAGGACGUUGAUAGGUUGGAUGUGGAAGCAUAGUGAUAUGUGAAGCUGACCAAUACUAAUUGCUCGUGAGGCUUGACUAUACAACACCCAAGCAGUUG
This 2983-nucleotide ribosomal RNA is filed under the name Acinetobacter baumannii. RNAcentral's name for it is "23S ribosomal RNA". It matches the Rfam family "Bacterial large subunit ribosomal RNA". The record is from RNAcentral. Lineage: Bacteria; Pseudomonadati; Pseudomonadota; Gammaproteobacteria; Moraxellales; Moraxellaceae.